This 301-nucleotide unclassified non-coding RNA is filed under the name fungal sp. Its description in RNAcentral is "partial internal transcribed spacer region". The stretch from base 1 to 46 matches the Rfam family "Eukaryotic small subunit ribosomal RNA", at positions 1786 to 1831 of the family's 1831-position model. The record is from RNAcentral. Lineage: Eukaryota; Fungi.
AAGUCGUAACAAGGUAACCGUAGGUGAACCUGCGGUUGGAUCAUUAUAAAAUGAUUACCUGGCUCUGUUGUUGGACUUUGUUCACCAGAGCCGGGUAUAAACAACCUGUGCACUGUAAUUGUUUCUUGGGUGUUACUUUAGCUAUUGCCGGUGCUUUGUGAUCGCAUUUCCUUAAUUGGGUGCCUUUGCGUUAAUGGCUGGUAGUAGUUGAAGUUUCGCCCAGCUUAAAACCUUUUUAAAUUUGGCUGAGAAGUAAAUUGUUAAUAGCAAACAACUUUUGACAACGGAUCUCUUGGCUCUC